UGGUAUAGCUCAGUUGGUAGAGCAGCUGAUUUGUAAUCAGCAGGUCGUGGGUUCGAGUCCCUCUACCA
RNAcentral lists this transfer RNA (68 nucleotides) under bovine gut metagenome. It matches the Rfam family "tRNA". Rfam says of the family: Transfer RNA (tRNA) molecules are approximately 80 nucleotides in length. The record is from RNAcentral.